RNAcentral lists this ribosomal RNA (492 nucleotides) under uncultured bacterium. RNAcentral describes it as "partial 16S ribosomal RNA". It matches the Rfam family "Bacterial small subunit ribosomal RNA", at positions 29 to 507 of the family's 1533-position model. The record is from RNAcentral.
AGUGAACGCUGGCGGUGUGCCUAACACAUGCAAGUCGAGCGGCAGCACAGGAAGAUCGUUCUCUUACGGUUGGCGGGUGGCGGACGAGUGAGGAGUGCAUCGGAAUCUACUUAUUCUUGGGUGAUAUCGUAGGAAAGCUGACGCUAAUACCUCAUACGUCCUACGGGUUAAAUCAAUGGAGCUUCACACCUUUCGCGAUUGAUUUAGCCGAUUUCGCAGUAGCUAGUUGGCGAGGUAAAGGCCCACCAAGGCAACGAUCCGUAGCCGGUCUGAGAGGGUGAUCGGCCACACUGGAACUGAGACACGGUCCAGACUCCUACGGGAGGCAGCAGUAGGGAAUCUUCCGCAAUGGGCGAAAGCCUGACGCAGCAAUGCCGCGUGAGUGAUGAAGGUCUUCGGAUCGUAAAGCUCUGUUAUUAGGAAAGAAAAAAUGUGUAAGUAACUAUGGACGUCUUGACGGUACCUAAUCAGAAAGCCACGGCUAACUACGUG